GAAAAGGUGGCCGAGUGGCUGAAGGCAACAGACUGUAAAUCUGUCGAUUAGGAGUCCGCGUAGGUUCGAAUCCUAUCCUUUUCA
RNAcentral lists this transfer RNA (84 nucleotides) under Rickettsiales bacterium (ex Bugula neritina AB1). Its description in RNAcentral is "tRNA-Tyr". It matches the Rfam family "tRNA". Rfam says of the family: Transfer RNA (tRNA) molecules are approximately 80 nucleotides in length. Lineage: Bacteria; Pseudomonadati; Pseudomonadota; Alphaproteobacteria; Rickettsiales. The record is from RNAcentral.